GUGAUGAUCAAGUCUCCAAUCUUUGGUAUCGGCCUUGCAAGUACAGUUAUUUUUCGAUAACUCGAUAAGUCAAACGAUAGCCAGCAGCGAAGCUUAUGUAAUGAGGAUGCUGAUGCAGUUUUUCAGGUGGACUGAGGAACAUAUUUGGAUAUGUGGGAGCAUAGAGUCAGCUUUUUGAAUGGGCUAAAGUUGCUGCAAGGGCCACAAGAGCAUCAUCACAGUCCAGGAGUCACCAGAUGGUGUGGUGAUGAAAAAAGGAACUAUGUUUUAUAAUACAUGUUACCUGAAGCCAAUUGUGUGUAAAUCAAGGAACAUUGUACAAUAGGGACUAACCAAAUGAGGAAGUGCAGCUAUUAAGACAAUGCCUCAUUCUCAGAAGGUUGGUGGUGUUCUCUCCAGCCAUGCUGAUUUCGGUUUUCUGUAAUUUUCCAUAAUCACUUAUAAGAAAUGCUAGGAUGUUUCCUUAAUCGAGGCCAUGACUGACCACCUAUCCUAACCUCAUAGACCAUCUGUCCUGCACUCUGAAAUAUCCUGGGUGUAACAAUUAAGCAGCAAAUACUCAUCUUCAAUUCUCAGCAUUCUCCAAUGCUGUGGUAGCUGUAAAACAGUUUGCAAGUUAUCUGCUCCACCAAGAUGUGCUGCUGCUUGCCGAGUUCUUAUCAGUGUGACUAUUGAUUUCAUAAUGGUAAGAGAAAUUUCAGGGAGACAUGAUAUCCUCUUUCAAAAUCACAUUUAUUGCAUAAUACUAUAACAAAACUGGCUCACAAAAACUGUCGGAAAACUGACACACACAUGGCUGAUUCAUCACUCCUUAUGUAUAUUUUGCCUACACCAUCCACUAUUAGAAACAGAAAAGUUAUGGAUUACAAUCAAAACCUCACUGGGGCACACAGACUGUCAUCAUUCAGUUAUGCAUUAAUUCUUCCCUCUCACUCUGCGACAAAAAGUUUUGCACAGCUUUUAUCUUUUAGUAUUGAAAUUCAUAAAAUAUACUUGCUAACAAUGUUUUUUUUAUAUAUAAAGUUGUUUAUAUUGUGAAAAGUAUUAGUUGGAAAAUGUUCCUAACAUUUCCAUUUGUUUAUUUCACAAAUACAAACAGAAUGUCAAUUUCAUUCCUUACAAAAACUAUCCUGCAAUUACAAAAUGAGACUGGUUUAGUUUUUAUAUCCAAGAAGUAAUUAGUCACAGUCAAACCAGUGCAGAGAUCUACGUAUGCUUUCUAAAGUUGGAAUGAAAUUAAUGACAGAAUAUGAAUCAUUAUAAUAAAUGGAAUUCUAUGUGAAAUAUCCUUGUUACAAAACUUAUAUAAGCAUGUAAAUGUUACAUCCUGAUACCUCAGGCCAACACUUCAUUUCAUAGUACGUUUAAAAUCAUAAAACGUGUUAUGCAUUUCAGAACAAAAUUCAGUUCUCAGUUAAACAAUUAGGAAAUUUAUUUCACUUACUGAUUUUAACAGACUAAUCUGUCAAUUUCAGAAGGCUACAAAAUUUAUGAUGAUAUAAAUUUUUUAAAGAAAACAUGUUGGCCAGCAUUGAAUACUUUGAGCUUUAUGCUCCUAUAUAUGGCUGACUAGGUAGAUGAUGUGUGAUUUUAUGUAUAGCUGUUAUUUUCUCAGCAACUGUGUGUUGUAAAUUUUGACCUGUUGAUUUGCUUUGUAUCACCUUCAAAAUGUGAGAUAAUAAAUAAAUAAAAUGGUGUGUUUGCUUAACA
This is a long non-coding RNA of Schistocerca gregaria, 1710 nucleotides long. RefSeq lists it as uncharacterized. The transcript has 2 exons. The record is from RefSeq and is a predicted model, not a curated record. Lineage: Eukaryota; Metazoa; Arthropoda; Insecta; Orthoptera; Acrididae.